AAAAAUGUUGAAGUGUAUUUUUUUAAAAUGAUGUGGCAUUGAAUGAAUUAUUUGUUAAUUACACGUAACAUCAGAAAUUUCCAUUAAAAAAAAUUCCCCAUUAACUUCGUCUUCUCCACAAAAACCUCUUCACCUCCAAAUCUUCCUCCAACCUUCAAUUCCAAAGUUUUAACCUUUCCCUCCUUCAAACUCAAACCCUCCCUCUCUUUCUCUCAUUUAUCCAC
RNAcentral lists this long non-coding RNA (224 nucleotides) under Vigna radiata. Its description in RNAcentral is "long non-coding RNA (VRAD_LNC013108)". Lineage: Eukaryota; Viridiplantae; Streptophyta; Magnoliopsida; Fabales; Fabaceae. The record is from RNAcentral.